Molecule: ribosomal RNA, 460 nt
Filed under: uncultured bacterium
Lineage: Bacteria
Description: partial 16S ribosomal RNA
Rfam family: Bacterial small subunit ribosomal RNA
Source: RNAcentral
CCUACGGGCGGCAGCAGUGAGGAAUAUUGGUCAAUGGACGAGAGUCUGAACCAGCCAAGUAGCGUGAAGGAUGACUGCCCUAUGGGUUGUAAACUUCUUUUAUAUGGGAAUAAAAUGUUCCACGUGUGGGAUUUUGUAUGUACCAUAUGAACAAGGAUCGGCUAACUCCGUGCCAGCAGCCGCGGUAAUACGGAGGAUCCGAGCGUUAUCCGGAUUUAUUGGGUUUAAAGGGAGCGUAGGUGGAUUGUUAAGUCAGUUGUGAAAGUUUGCGGCUCAACCGUAAAAGUGCAGUUGAAACUGGCAGUCUUGAGUACAGUAGAGGUGGGCGGAAUUCGUGGUGUAGCGGUGAAAUGCUUAGAUAUCACGAAGAACUCCGAUUGCGAAGGCAGCUCGCUGGACUGCAACUGACACUGAGGCUCGAAAGUGUGGGUAUCAAACAGGAUUAGAUACCCGAGUAGUC